Molecule: ribosomal RNA, 253 nt
Filed under: uncultured bacterium
Lineage: Bacteria
Description: partial 16S ribosomal RNA
Rfam family: Bacterial small subunit ribosomal RNA
Source: RNAcentral
UACGCAGGGUGCGAGCGUUGUCCGGAAUCAUUGGGCGUAAAGCGCGCGUAGGCGGCCCCGUAAGUCCGCUGUGAAAGUCAAAGGCUCAACCUUUGAAAGCCGGUGGAUACUGUGGGGCUAGAGUCCGGAAGAGGCGAGUGGAAUUCCUGGUGUAGCGGUGGAAUGCGCAGAUAUCAGGAGGAACACCAAUAGCGAAGGCAGCUCGCUGGGACGGUACUGACGCUAAGGCGCGAAAGCGUGGGGAGCGAACAGG